GCCUCGAUAGCUUAGUGGUAAAGCGCUUGCCUCGUAAGCAGGAGAUCGUGGGUUCAAUCCCCACUCGAGGCU
RNAcentral lists this transfer RNA (72 nucleotides) under Nitrososphaerales archaeon. RNAcentral's name for it is "tRNA-Thr". It matches the Rfam family "tRNA". Rfam says of the family: Transfer RNA (tRNA) molecules are approximately 80 nucleotides in length. The record is from RNAcentral. Lineage: Archaea; Thermoproteati; Nitrososphaerota; Nitrososphaeria; Nitrososphaerales.